RNAcentral lists this ribosomal RNA (274 nucleotides) under Escherichia coli. Its description in RNAcentral is "partial 23S ribosomal RNA". It matches the Rfam family "Bacterial large subunit ribosomal RNA", at positions 63 to 373 of the family's 2925-position model. The record is from RNAcentral. Lineage: Bacteria; Pseudomonadati; Pseudomonadota; Gammaproteobacteria; Enterobacterales; Enterobacteriaceae.
AAUCUGCGAUAAGCGUCGGUGAGGUGAUAUGAACCGUUAUAACCGGCGAUUUCCGAAUGGGGAAACCCAGUGUGUUUCGACACACUAUCAUUAACUGAAUCCAUAGGUUAAUGAGGCGAACCGGGGGAACUGAAACAUCUAAGUACCCCGAGGAAAAGAAAUCAACCGAGAUUCCCCCAGUAGCGGCGAGCGAACGGGGAGCAGCCCAGAGCCUGAAUCAGUGUGUGUGUUAGUGGAAGCGUCUGGAAAGGCGUGCGAUACAGGGUGACAGCCC